UGGGGAAUAUUGGACAAUGGGCGAAAGCCUGAUCCAGCCAUGCCGCAUGUGUGAAGAAGGUCUUCGGAUUGUAAAGCACUUUAAGUUGGGAGGAAGGGCAGUAAGCGAAUACCUUGCUGUUUUGACGUUACCGACAGAAUAAGCACCGGCUAACUCUGUGCCAGCAGCCGCGGUAAUACAGAGGGUGCAAGCGUUAAUCGGAAUUACUGGGCGUAAAGCGCGCGUAGGUGGUUCGUUAAGUUGAAUGUGAAAGCCCCGGGCUCAACCUGGGAACUGCAUCCAAAACUGGCGAGCUAGAGUAGGGCAGAGGGUGGUGGAAUUUCCUGUGUAGCGGUGAAAUGCGUAGAUAUAGGAAGGAACACCAGUGGCGAAGGCGACCACCUGGGCUCAUACUGACACUGAGGUGCGAAAGCGUGGGGAGCAAACAGG
Molecule: ribosomal RNA, 429 nt
Filed under: Pseudomonadota bacterium
Lineage: Bacteria; Pseudomonadati; Pseudomonadota
Description: Proteobacteria bacterium partial 16S ribosomal RNA
Rfam family: Bacterial small subunit ribosomal RNA
Source: RNAcentral